Molecule: transfer RNA, 86 nt
Filed under: Trifolium pratense (red clover)
Lineage: Eukaryota; Viridiplantae; Streptophyta; Magnoliopsida; Fabales; Fabaceae
Description: tRNA tRNA-Tyr
Rfam family: tRNA
About the family: Transfer RNA (tRNA) molecules are approximately 80 nucleotides in length. Their secondary structure includes four short double-helical elements and three loops (D, anti-codon, and T loops).
Source: Rfam by way of RNAcentral
CCGACCUUAGCUCAGUUGGUAGAGCGGAGGACUGUAGUUGGAAUGCUGAUAUCCUUAGGUCGCUGGUUCGAAUCCGGCAGGUCGGA